UUUCAAGGUGAACCACAUUGUGUAAGCCCAACUUGCCUAGUUGGUGAAAACAUUAUAAGGAUAGAGAUAUUCUGUUUGGGAGUGACUGUCAUCAACCAGUUAAGAGACAGUCCUGAGGUUGUAUUUAGCGUUGACAAUUUGGGCAGUAAACAAAGAUUUCUAGUCACAGGCUUCUAUAAGACAGGUACAGACUAGCACCACUCCCCAAAUAGUGAAGCACAAGAGGACAAAGAGUUAUGAAGAAAAGAAGGGCUCAGUUUUGGAGAUGUUGCAUUUGAAGACUGCAAGUACCAGACCGCGAUUGAAGGAAAGACAAAAAUGCAGAGACAUCAGCCUGGCAUGCAACCACUUUGGCU
Molecule: long non-coding RNA, 356 nt
Filed under: Homo sapiens (human)
Lineage: Eukaryota; Metazoa; Chordata; Mammalia; Primates; Hominidae
Description: non-protein coding lnc-CDH9-11:1
Source: RNAcentral